This 86-nucleotide Y RNA is filed under the name Propithecus coquereli (Coquerel's sifaka). RNAcentral describes it as "Y RNA (ENSPCOG00000004213.1)". It matches the Rfam family "Y RNA", at positions 7 to 86 of the family's 96-position model. From Rfam's summary of the family: Y RNAs are components of the Ro ribonucleoprotein particle (Ro RNP), in association with Ro60 and La proteins. The Y RNAs and Ro60 and La proteins are well conserved, but the function of the Ro RNP is not known. The record is from Rfam by way of RNAcentral. Lineage: Eukaryota; Metazoa; Chordata; Mammalia; Primates; Indriidae.
UCCGAGUGCAGUGGUGUUUCCAAAUUAUUGAUCACAACCAGUUACAGAUUCCUUUGUUCCUUCUCCACUCCCACUGCUUCACUUGA